This 903-nucleotide ribosomal RNA is filed under the name Ophiocordyceps sp. RNAcentral describes it as "bacterial SSU rRNA". The stretch from base 1 to 391 matches the Rfam family "Eukaryotic small subunit ribosomal RNA", at positions 1442 to 1831 of the family's 1831-position model. Lineage: Eukaryota; Fungi; Ascomycota; Sordariomycetes; Hypocreales; Ophiocordycipitaceae. The record is from RNAcentral.
AGUUUGAGGCAAUAACAGGUCUGUGAUGCCCCUUAGAUGUUCUGGGCCGCACGCGCGCUACACUGACGGAGCCAGCGAGUACUCCCUUGGCCGGAAGGCCCGGGUAAUCUUGUUAAACUUCGUCGUGCUGGGGAUAGAGCAUUGCAAUUAUUGCUCUUCAACGAGGAAUCCCUAGUAAGCGCAAGUCAUCAGCUUGCGUUGACUACGUCCCUGCCCUUUGUACACACCGCCCGUCGCUACUACCGAUUGAAUGGCUCAGUGAGGCGUCCGGACUGGCCCAGAGAGGUGGGCAACCACCACUCAGGGCCGGAAAGCUCUCCAAACUCGGUCAUUUAGAGGAAGUAAAAGUCGUAACAAGGUCUCCGUUGGUGAACCAGCGGAGGGAUCAUUACCGAGUUGCCCCAACUCCCAAACCCCGUGCGAACCGUACCACACGCGUUGCCUCGGCGGGACCGCCCCGGCGCCCACGGCGGCCCGGACCAAGGCGCCCGCCGGAGGACCCCCCAGACUCUCCUGUCGCAGCGGCAUUGCUCUCCGAGUCCAGGCGAAAUAGCAAAUGAAUCAAAACUUUCAACAACGGAUCUCUUGGCUCUGGCAUCGAUGAAGAACGCAGCGAAAUGCGAUAAGUAAUGUGAAUUGCAGAAUUCAGUGAAUCAUCGAAUCUUUGAACGCACAUUGCGCCCGCCAGCACUCUGGCGGGCAUGCCUGUCCGAGCGUCAUUUCACCCCUCGAGCCCGGCUCGGUGUUGGGGGCCAGGCGGCCGCGCGCCGCCCCCCCGAAAUGCAGUGGCGACCCCGCCGCGUCCUCCCCUGCGCAGUAGCUCCCCAGAGAACCUCGCACCGGAAGCGCGGAGGCGGUCACGCCGUAAAAGAAAAGGGCGCGAAGCCCUCCCCCCCAAUGAGU